GACUCUGUAGCUUAAUUGGUUAGAGCACUGUACCGGAAUCGCAGGGCAGCAGGUUCGAUUCCUGCCGGGGACC
RNAcentral lists this transfer RNA (73 nucleotides) under Paramuricea clavata. It matches the Rfam family "tRNA". Rfam says of the family: Transfer RNA (tRNA) molecules are approximately 80 nucleotides in length. Their secondary structure includes four short double-helical elements and three loops (D, anti-codon, and T loops). Lineage: Eukaryota; Metazoa; Cnidaria; Anthozoa; Malacalcyonacea; Plexauridae. The record is from Rfam by way of RNAcentral.